GCCGACAGUCGCACUCCGCCUCCACGGCAGGUCAGUAGCCGCUGACAGUCGCACUCCGCCUCCACGGCAGGUCAGUAGCCGCCGACAGUCGCACUCCGCCUCCACGGCAGGUCAGUAGCCGCUGACAGUCGCACUCCGCCUCCACGGCAGGUCAGUAGCCGCCGACAGUCGCACUCCGCCUCCACGGCAGGUCAGUAGCCGCCGACAGUCGCACUCCGCCUCCACGGCAGGUCAGUAGCCGCUGACAGUCGCACUCCGCCUCCACGGCAGGUCAGUAGCCGCCGACAGUCGCACUCCGCCUCCACGGCAGGUCAGUAGCCGCCGACAGUCGCACUCCGCCUCCACGGCAGCCAAGUAGAAGAGGAUGUCCCCACUACAGAGAAUAUACCGAAUAUUAACUUAUUAUCGCAAGGACUAAUCACAGAUUGAAAGUAACGGAGAAGUGUUUGUUGGUGUAUGUUAUAAAAUUGUUCAUAAUUGUAAUGCAAUCAGAAAUGUAAUGUUGUAUUUUGCGGGAAGGAAUAUCGUGGUAAGGAUUCAAGUAGAUGGACAUUGUUUUGGUGUGAUAGUGUUGUAUCCAAUAUUAUGGAAGGUGUAAGAAGGAAAUUCCCGUAAGCAUGCGACAAAGCGUUGCGUUCGUCCGGGAUGAGCUCACUGUUAGUGUAAGUAUAGGAGAUGUGAGUGAUGCCUACUCAAUGUUGGGCAGUUAAUCAGUUAAAUUGACUUGUAUGUCAUGGAAUGUGAUUGUAAAAGGUAAAUGUGAACGGCUACAUUAUGUGAUUACGGAUGGAAAACAUCCCUCUCCUAAACUGGUGAGAUAGAGCUAUGUAAAAGUUGUCUCGAGUAAAACAAUUCGAGGCUAAGACUAUGUACUAAGGAAUUUGCAUAGUGUAAUUUGAAAUAUUUUCAAUGAAUUAUAUUUUCAUAAAGCUUCUCACCUGUUAUCCGCGUUUGUGCCUAUUUAAACUGUAAUGAGAGUUAAAUUAAUAUGUGCGUACGUUUUAUUAUUUCCAAAGAGUCAUUGCAUUUCCAUGUUUAGCAAUGACUACGUUUUGCGGCAGUCCUACUAAAUAAAGCGUGUUCCUAUAACGCAUUGAAAAUUUAUUGUAUUGUAUGUAGGUCUCCGAUUUAUAUUCUGCUGGCCAGAUGGACUCCGUCUUUUGUCAAGUGGGCUAAUGACCGCUUAUUGUACGGCAAUUAGCCAUAGAUUAAAAAAUGGGUGUGACUCUGUUUUAUUGACUGUCAUUAUAUUGUUAGUUGUAGAUAAAUAAAAUGUGAUAGUAGGACUGCUGGUCCGGUCUGAUGACGAUGCCACUGUAUGUGCCGCUCAGUGCUACCUUUAGUUAAACAAAAAUCUCUUCGUUUAGUGUAUAGUUUUAAUGGAAAGUUUAUAGGAGCACAUACGAAUGGGGGUUAAUCAGUGGGCAUCGCCAUUUUGAUCAUUGCCAGAAUUUAUCGAGCAACUCAAUUGUUUUAUCACACAAAUAUAGUAUGUAUAAAUUGUAAAUGUUCUGAAAAAAGGACUUAGUUUAAUUUCAUUCAUAAAAAUGGAACAAUUUGUCGUAAAAUAUGUAUAUUCUUACAAGUGUUUGGUAAGUCCUUUUGAUGUGGAAAUUUGAAACAAAAUGUUGACAGAAAUAGGAUAUAUUUGUAAAAAUCUUACUCAAAAAACUGUACCUGGUGAUUGUAUUAUUAUGGAAAUAUACCUUUACAACAAAUCUUCCAAAUAGUGAUAUUAUUUUAAAAUAAUAGACCCCUUUUUUAUUAUCUUUUAUUGCAAAUGGUAUUGUACAAUAAAAUAGCAAUAGUUAUAUCAGUCGAUAAUAAAUAACAAACUCGCUACAAAACGUAUAAAUAAAAUAUCAAAGUAAAACCAUACAAUGAUAUAACAAAUACCAGUUAAUUUCAAACAAAAUGUUUCACAUUCGUAACUUACCUUUAAAAGCAUUAAAAUACGUACGAGCUUAAUCCAUAAAUAAUUUGUAUACAAGAAGUUUACCAAGUUUAUUCAAUACAAUAUUUAGGAAAGUACACAAUACAUGACUUACGUAUCUAUAAUUAAUUAAUUUACAUUAUGUAGAAUAUUUUUAUAAAAUAUAAAUACUGCUUACACAAGUCUAUUCCUACUGGAACAAAAUAUUUACACAACCUCUUUCACCUUGGCUCUAUUGAAUAUAAUAUUUCAUAGGAUAUACCAAACCAAUUCCUCCUGUCCCGUCAGUACAAAGUGUACUUUCGUUUCAAAAUCCAUUAUAUCGAACUAUUGAAAUGUUUUCUAAUCUUAUCUGUCAAUAAAAAUAUUCAUGAGAGUAAUGUCUUAACUGUAGUAUUAAUAAUCUUAAAGGAGUUUUAUUUAUUUUUAUAAAUAAAUAUA
Molecule: long non-coding RNA, 2374 nt
Organism: Achroia grisella
Lineage: Eukaryota; Metazoa; Arthropoda; Insecta; Lepidoptera; Pyralidae
Exons: 2
Source: RefSeq, a predicted model, not a curated record